CAUAAAGCGUCGAUCAAGAAGAGUAGCUUGCCCGGAACCACAUAAGAGAGAAAAGCGUUUGGUGAAAGCUUUUUUGGGGAAGGAAAGUGAAGUAGCUUGUGAGCAAGUUGUGUGAAGGUCCUCGGAUGGACUGGGUAGCGCAGCUCGGAGCAUUCUCCGUUAUCAAAAAGAGAGACAGGAAUCCGUUUCCUGUAAUUUAGGUGGUACCGCGAUCAUAUCGUCCUGCAU
RNAcentral lists this non-coding RNA (228 nucleotides) under Trichococcus sp. RNAcentral's name for it is "T-box sequence". It matches the Rfam family "T-box leader". Rfam says of the family: Uncharged tRNA acts as the effector for transcription antitermination of genes in the T-box leader family. The record is from RNAcentral. Lineage: Bacteria; Bacillati; Bacillota; Bacilli; Lactobacillales; Carnobacteriaceae.